Molecule: ribosomal RNA, 137 nt
Filed under: uncultured bacterium
Lineage: Bacteria
Description: partial 16S ribosomal RNA
Rfam family: Bacterial small subunit ribosomal RNA
Source: RNAcentral
UGGGGAAUCUUGCGCAAUGGGCGAAAGCCUGACGCAGCCAUGCCGCGUGAAUGAUGAAGGUCUUAGGAUUGUAAAAUUCUUUCAGUAGGGACGAUAAUGACGGUACCUACAGAAGAAGCCCCGGCUAACUUUCGUGC